ACCUGCCAACCUACCUGCAUGAUAUCCAAUCAAUCUCUAUGUGAAUAGACAUUGUUAGCUAGAUAGCUAGCUACCUAUCUACCUCACUGCCUACUAACCACCCUACCAGCUCAAUAUCUAAUCAAUCUAUAUGAGAAUAAACAUCACCUAUCUAUCAAUGAUAUCUAGCAAUGAUAUGUAUCGAUGAUGAUAUAUAAUAUCUAAGAGUGUAGCAGCUAUCAUAGCUGCCUUUGGUCUAGAUGCACAACAAACUAGAUAAUGUCAAUGCAUUUAUGAACAGCAAGAUUGAUGAGAUAGUUUACGUUGAUCGACCUGAUCGUUGGUGGAAGUUAAAUUGGGUACGGGGAUCUAAAGAGGAAGAGCCAUGCCCUCUAUGGCCGACAAAGAUCGCCACUCCUUUGGAUUAAUGAGCUAUCUUCUACCUUCCGAAGACUAGGUUUUACAUCAAUAUCCGAGGAUAGAUGCCUCUUCUCAAAUGAUCGCCUAAUUAUAUUCUUUCACAUCGCUGAUAUCACUGUCCCGUCACACCCUAAAGAUUUGGAGGAAAGAAAGCGAUCAAUUGAUCGCUGAUCUCCAAGGAUAUGUACGAGAUUCGACAUAUGGAAAACCUUCUGUUGUUCCUUAAUAUGAGAAUUACUAGGGAUAGAGCCUCAAUCAAGUUAUGGCCCUGUCAGAAUACAGACACCCAGCUGGACUGGUUGGAAUUUGUGAGGUGAUUUUAAACACGAUGGGAUCUCGUUUUCCUACCACGUUCCAACUCAACUAGAUGCUCAUGAAAAAAAAAAAAAAAAUCUGUGGAUCCCCUAAUAUUAAAACCAUGGAGUUUUAGAAUCACAGAAUCACAUGCGAAGCAAGUCGAGGGAUUGUGCAGUAAAUGGGGCAAUUUUCAGAGAGUAUAAAAAAGACGCA
This 909-nucleotide small RNA is filed under the name Histoplasma capsulatum. Its description in RNAcentral is "hypothetical RNA". Lineage: Eukaryota; Fungi; Ascomycota; Eurotiomycetes; Onygenales; Ajellomycetaceae. The record is from RNAcentral.